UCGAUUUGGAGUUUGUUGCCUAGAGUGAUGGGCUCCGAAGCUAACGCGAUAAAUCGACCGCCUGGGGAGUACGGCCGCAAGGUUAAAACUCAAAUGAAUUGACGGGGGCCCGCACAAGCGGUGGAGCAUGUGGUUUAAUUCGAUGCAACGCGAAGAACCUUACCUGGUCUUGACAUCCACAGAAUCUUGCAGAGAUGUGAGAGUGCCUUCGGGAACUGUGAGACAGGUGCUGCAUGGCUGUCGUCAGCUCGUGUUGUGAAAUGUUGGGUUAAGUCCCGCAACGAGCGCAACCCUUAUCCUUUGUUGCCAUCGGUUCGGCCGGGAACUCAAAGGAGGCUGCCGUUGAUAAAGCGGAGGAAGGUGGGGACGACGUCAAGUCAUCAUGGCCCUUACGACCAGGGCUACACACGUGCCACAAUGGCGUAUACAAAGGGAGGCGACCUCGCGAGAGCAAGCGGACCUCAUAAAGUGCGUCUAAGUCCGGAUUGGAGUCUGCAACUCGACUCCAUGAAGUCGGAAUCGCUAGUAAUCGUGAAUCAGAAUGUCACGGUGAAUACGUUCCCGGGCCU
This 569-nucleotide ribosomal RNA is filed under the name uncultured Gammaproteobacteria bacterium. RNAcentral describes it as "bacterial SSU rRNA". It matches the Rfam family "Bacterial small subunit ribosomal RNA", at positions 812 to 1381 of the family's 1533-position model. The record is from RNAcentral. Lineage: Bacteria; Pseudomonadati; Pseudomonadota; Gammaproteobacteria.